UACGUAGGGGGCGAGCGUUGUCCGGAAUCAUUGGGCGUAAAGCGCGUGUAGGCGGCCCGAUAAGUCCGCUGUGAAAGUCCAGGGCUCAACCCUGGGAUGCCGGUGGAUACUGUCGGGCUCGAGUCCGGAAGAGGCGAGUGGAAUUCCUGGUGUAGCGGUGAAAUGCGCAGAUAUCAGGAGGAACACCAAUGGCGAAGGCAGCUCGCUGGGACGUGACUGACGCUGAGGAGCGAAAGCGUGGGGAGCGAACAGG
RNAcentral lists this ribosomal RNA (253 nucleotides) under uncultured bacterium. Its description in RNAcentral is "partial 16S ribosomal RNA". It matches the Rfam family "Bacterial small subunit ribosomal RNA", at positions 524 to 776 of the family's 1533-position model. The record is from RNAcentral.